Molecule: long non-coding RNA, 309 nt
Organism: Propithecus coquereli (Coquerel's sifaka)
Lineage: Eukaryota; Metazoa; Chordata; Mammalia; Primates; Indriidae
Exons: 3
Source: RefSeq, a predicted model, not a curated record
GGCCCGGAAGGAGCUGAUAUGAACUGGGGCUUCGGCAGCCAUCGCUCUUUGCAGUUUGGUCUCCGAGUGUGGUGCUGACGCUAAGCGGGGAAUUGCGUUCUCUCCAGUCGCAGACCCUAUCAGAUUUGGAUAUGUCCUUCAUAUUUGAUUGGAUUUACAGUGGUUUCAGCAGUGUGCUACAGUUUUUAGGAUUAUAUAAGAAAACUGGUAAAUUGGUAUUUCUUGGAUUGGAUAAUGCGGGAAAAACAACAUUGCUACACAUGCUAAAAGAUGACAGACUUGGACAGCACGUCCCAACAUUACAUCCCA